AGCUUCAUCUUCUUGAAAGCUCUUCUCGAACCCAGCCUUGGCGUCGUUCAUCCAUCCUCAGCGUUCAGCUUCAUCUUCUCGAACCCAGCCUUUGUCGUUCAUCCAUUUCCAUCGUCAUCUUCAUCACUGGCCUUCAUCGCACCCAGAAAACCCUAACCUCCAUCACGCCGCCAUCGCACCCUAACCCUAACCUCUUGCUGUCCUUCUCGCCGUUCUGGUCGUCGUGCUGCUCGCCUCUCUCUGUCGCGGUUCUGCUCGCCUCUCUCUGUCGCGGUUCUGCUCCCCUCUUGUUUUCCCAAUAUCCGUCCCCUUGACACAAUUUACAGCAACUUCAUCGAUGCUCUCCCUGUGGUGAAGUACUGCUCUGAGAAUAACAAUAGGCUUAUUCACUUCUCUACUUGUGAAGUGUACGGGAAAACGAUUGGAAGCUUUCUCCCCAAAGAUAGUCCUCUUCGUCAGGUAACCUUUCCUUUUUUGUUGAUUUUAUUUUAUUUUAUUUUUUUAAAUCUUUCUUUGUUUGUUAA
This is a long non-coding RNA of Arachis ipaensis, 524 nucleotides long. RefSeq lists it as uncharacterized. The record is from RefSeq and is a predicted model, not a curated record. Lineage: Eukaryota; Viridiplantae; Streptophyta; Magnoliopsida; Fabales; Fabaceae.